This 446-nucleotide ribosomal RNA is filed under the name uncultured bacterium. Its description in RNAcentral is "partial 16S ribosomal RNA". It matches the Rfam family "Bacterial small subunit ribosomal RNA", at positions 338 to 795 of the family's 1533-position model. The record is from RNAcentral.
CCUACGGGUGGCAGCAGUCGAGAAUCAUUCACAAUGGGGGAAACCCUGAUGGUGCGACGCCGCGUGGGGGAAUGAAGGUCUUCGGAUUGUAAACCCCUGUCAUGUGGGAGCAAAUUAAAAAGAUAGUACCACAAGAGGAAGAGACGGCUAACUCUGUGCCAGCAGCCGCGGUAAUACAGAGGUCUCAAGCGUUGUUCGGAAUCACUGGGCGUAAAGCGUGCGUAGGCUGUUUCGUAAGUCGUGUGUGAAAGGCGCGGGCUCAACCCGCGGACGGCACAUGAUACUGCGAGACUAGAGUAAGGGAGGGGGAACCGGAAUUCUCGGUGUAGCAGUGAAAUGCGUAGAUAUCGAGAGGUACACUCGUGGCGAAGGCGGGUUCCUGGACAUUAACUGACGCUGAGGCACGAAGGCCAGGGGAGCGAAAGGGAUUAGAUACCCGGGUAGUC